CAUGCAAGUCGAACGGUAACAGAAAGCAGCUUGCUGCUUUGCUGACGAGUGGCGGACGGGUGAGUAAUGUCUGGGAAACUGCCCGAUGGAGGGGGAUAACUACUGGAAACGGUAGCUAAUACCGCAUAACGUCGCAAGACCAAAGAGGGGGACCUUCGGGCCUCUUGCCAUCGGAUGUGCCCAGAUGGGAUUAGCUAGUAGGUGGGGUAAAGGCUCACCUAGGCGACGAUCCCUAGCUGGUCUGAGAGGAUGACCAGCCACACUGGAACUGAGACACGGUCCAGACUCCUACGGGAGGCAGCAGUGGGGAAUAUUGCACAAUGGGCGCAAGCCUGAUGCAGCCAUGCCGCGUGUAUGAAGAAGGCCUUCGGGUUGUAAAGUACUUUCAGCGGGGAGGAAGGGAGUAAAGUUAAUACCUUUGCUCAUUGACGUUACCCGCAGAAGAAGCACCGGCUAACUCCGUGCCAGCAGCCGCGGUAAUACGGAGGGUGCAAGCGUUAAUCGGAAUUACUGGGCGUAAAGCGCACGCAGGCGGUUUGUUAAGUCAGAUGUGAAAUCCCCGGGCUCAACCUGGGAACUGCAUCUGAUACUGGCAAGCUUGAGUCUCGUAGAGGGGGGUAGAAUUCCAGGUGUAGCGGUGAAAUGCGUAGAGAUCUGGAGGAAUACCGGUGGCGAAGGCGGCCCCCUGGACGAAGACUGACGCUCAGGUGCGAAAGCGUG
Molecule: ribosomal RNA, 720 nt
Filed under: bacterium CIM002
Lineage: Bacteria
Description: bacterial SSU rRNA
Rfam family: Bacterial small subunit ribosomal RNA
Source: RNAcentral